This 839-nucleotide ribosomal RNA is filed under the name uncultured eukaryote. Its description in RNAcentral is "bacterial SSU rRNA". It matches the Rfam family "Eukaryotic small subunit ribosomal RNA", at positions 21 to 845 of the family's 1831-position model. The record is from RNAcentral.
AGUCCUAUGCUUGUCACAAAGAUUAAGCCAUGCACGUCUAAGUACGAGCCGCCCCGGCGGCGAAACUGCGAACGGCUCAUUAAAUCGGUUACGACUCCACUGGUGCCAGACGUCCAGGUGGAUAACGUGCGGUAACUCCGGUGCUAAUACAUGCAACAAGGCUCCGACCCGGCGCGCGAGCGUCGGGGAAGGGCGCACUUAUUAGGCGAAAACCGACGUCCCGGGUCAAACCGGGGCUUCGGCGGACGACACCCGAGUAGUUGCCGCCGAUCGCACGGCCUCGCGCCGGCGACGCAUCUUUCGAGUUUCCGAUCUAUCACGCUGACGACGGCUGGUGCUACGCCAACCGUGGCGUUUACGGAUAACAGAGAAUCUGGGUUCGAUUCUGGAGAGGCCGCCUGAGAAACGGCGACCACUUCCAAGGAAGGCAGCAGGCACGCAAAUUACCCACUUCUGACACAGAGAGGUAGUGACGUGAAAUACCGAUGCGGCGCGCGCAAGCGACGUCGCAAUCGGAAUGAGAACAGUUCAAAACCUUUAACGAGGAUCCACUGGAGGGAAAGCCUGGUGCCAGCAGCCGCGGUAAUUCCAGCUCCAGCAGCGUAUAUUAUUAUUGCUGCGUUUAAAAAGCUCGUAGUUGGCGUACCGACGCGUGACGGCGGUCGGCCUCGCGGCUCGCACUGCCCGAUCGCGCCAUGCGCGAACGUCGCCGACGUUGCGCUUCGCCGCGUGACCUCGGCAGCAUCGCACGUUCACUUGAGAAACUGACGUCAUGGGAGGCGUGGGCGCUCGAACAACCCAGCAUGUACGAUGACAGGCGCGUGCGUUGUGUUUAGACC